This 352-nucleotide unclassified non-coding RNA is filed under the name soil metagenome. RNAcentral describes it as "partial contains 5.8S ribosomal RNA, internal transcribed spacer 2, and large subunit ribosomal RNA". The stretch from base 1 to 120 matches the Rfam family "5.8S ribosomal RNA", at positions 35 to 154 of the family's 154-position model. The record is from RNAcentral.
GAUGAAGAACGUAGCGAAAUGCGAUAAGUAAUGUGAAUUGCAGAAUUCAGUGAAUCAUCGAAUCUUUGAACGCACAUUGCGCCCGCCAGUAUUCUGGCGGGCAUGCCUGUUCGAGCGUCAUUACAACCCUCAGGCCCCCGGGCCUGGCGUUGGGGAUCGGCGGAGCCCCCCGUGGUCACACGCCGUCCCCCAAAUGCAGUGGCGGUCCCGCCGCAGCUUCCAUCGCGUAGUAGCUAACACCUCGCGACUGGAGAGCGGCGCGGCCACGCCGUAAAACACCCAACUCUUCUGAAGUUGACCUCGAAUCAGGUAGGAAUACCCGCUGAACUUAAGCAUAUCAAUAAGCGGAGGA